CGAAUGUAUUGUUACAAUAGGGGUAUUAUCGCAGCCUUGCAAAAACCUGGCACGGUGCACGGUUUGCGAAGCUGAUGUCAAUUCCCCUAUAAAAGUACGUCUGCGCUGUCGUAAGAGCAUCAGUUGUGCUCCGUUUUCAAACUCGAAAUCAUCAAGUAAUCAAAACAUGUGGCCCAGGAAUUCCUUCGUGUUCCUUUUUGGAGCUGUGCUAUUAAUCACUAUAGCUGUUACACAUGCCCAGCCUGGUGUGCCGGGUGGUGUUGUUGUUAUACCAACUAAAAGACCUCCUCCAACUGGAACACCUACGCCCCCAACUAGGAGGCCUACACUCCCAACUAGGAGACCUACACCCCGAACCAGGAGACCUUUAAUCUACCAACUAGAAGUGCUACGCGUUCAACUAGAAGACGCACUACGCCGCCAACUAGAACAACUACAACUUCAACUAGCAGGCGAAUUACGCCGCCAACUAAGAGAGCUACUCCAAAGUAUACGAGACAGAACUAGGAACUGAUAAAUGUGCUUUACGCAAUCUCAACUGUUAAUCUAGGCCGCGUAAUAACUGGCCCUUUAAAAGCCAAAACCGUUGCGAAAAGCUAAAACUUGGGGAACCUGCCGCUGAAUGCAAAGUUUAAUAAUAAGUUAGAGACACAAUGAUUGAUAGAAUGUUAAAUAAUUGAUGUUAAAUAUGAAAUUUCCGCCACAAAUGCAUACAUGCAUACAUAAAUAUAUAUGUUUCAUUAAUUCUUAUAAAAAAUUAUUUUUCUUGCAC
Molecule: long non-coding RNA, 772 nt
Organism: Rhagoletis pomonella (apple maggot)
Lineage: Eukaryota; Metazoa; Arthropoda; Insecta; Diptera; Tephritidae
Exons: 3
Source: RefSeq, a predicted model, not a curated record